CCUACGGGAGGCAGCAGUGGGGAAUAUUGGACAAUGGGGGGAACCCUGAUCCAGCGACGCCGCGUGAGUGAAGAAGUAUUUCGGUAUGUAAAGCCCUAUCAGCAGGGAAGAAAGAAAUGACGGUACCUGAAUAAGAAGCCCCGGCUAACUACGUGCCAGCAGCCGCGGUAAUACGUAGGGGGCAAGCGUUAUCCGGAUUUACUGGGUGUAAAGGGAGCGUAGACGGCGAUGCAAGUCUGAAGUGAAAGGCGGUGGCCCAACCCCCGGACUGCUUUGGAAACUGUAUGGCUGGAGUGCAGGAGAGGUAAGUGGAAUUCCUAGUGUAGCGGUGAAAUGCGUAGAUAUUAGGAGGAACACCAGUGGCGAAGGCGGCUUACUGGACUGUAACUGACGUUGAGGCUCGAAAGCGUGGGGAGCAAACAGGAUUAGAUACCCCUGUAGUC
Molecule: ribosomal RNA, 443 nt
Filed under: uncultured bacterium
Lineage: Bacteria
Description: partial 16S ribosomal RNA
Rfam family: Bacterial small subunit ribosomal RNA
Source: RNAcentral